Molecule: small nucleolar RNA, 107 nt
Filed under: Cephalotus follicularis
Lineage: Eukaryota; Viridiplantae; Streptophyta; Magnoliopsida; Oxalidales; Cephalotaceae
Description: Plant small nucleolar RNA R71
Rfam family: Plant small nucleolar RNA R71
About the family: R71 is a member of the C/D box family of snoRNAs containing the C (UGAUGA) and D (CUGA) box motifs. Multiple nearly identical copies of this snoRNA have been identified in Arabidopsis, and it is thought to function as a 2'-O-ribose methylation guide for 18S ribosomal RNA.
Source: Rfam by way of RNAcentral
AAACCAUGAUGAGGACACUCUAAGAGGAUGUCUUUGAAACGUUCCAUAAAUUUAGAAAAUGAUUCAUUGGGUUUUUGAUGAAACUGGAGAAUGUCGUUCCUAAGUUU